RNAcentral lists this ribosomal RNA (277 nucleotides) under uncultured bacterium. RNAcentral describes it as "partial 16S ribosomal RNA". It matches the Rfam family "Bacterial small subunit ribosomal RNA", at positions 28 to 298 of the family's 1533-position model. The record is from RNAcentral.
GACGAACGCUGGCGGCGUGCAUCACACAUGCAAGUGGAGCGACGAACCGGGCUUCGGCCCGGGGCAGAGCCGCGAACGGGUGAGUAACACGUGGGUAACCUGCCCCGAUGAUUGGGACAACCCGAGGAAACUCGGGCUAAUACCAAAUGUGCCCUACGGCCGUAAGGCUGCUGGGGAAAGGAAGCUUCGGCCUCCGCAUCGGGAUGGGCCCGCGGCCCAUUAGCUUGUUGGUGAGGUAACGGCUCACCAAGGCGACGAUGGGUAGCUGGUCUGAGAG